UACGUAGGGGGCAAGCGUUGUCCGGAUUUAUUGGGCGUAAAGAGCGUGUAGGCGGUUAGGUAGGUCCGUUGUGAAAACUCGAGGCUUAACCUCGAGAUGUCGGCGGAAACCAUCUGGCUAGAGUCCGGAAGAGGAGAAUGGAAUUCCCGGUGUAGCGGUGAAAUGCGCAGAUAUCGGGAAGAACACCCGUGGCGAAGGCGGUUCUCUGGGACGGUACUGACGCUGAGACGCGAAAGCGUGGGGAGCGAACAGG
This 253-nucleotide ribosomal RNA is filed under the name uncultured bacterium. RNAcentral's name for it is "partial 16S ribosomal RNA". It matches the Rfam family "Bacterial small subunit ribosomal RNA", at positions 524 to 776 of the family's 1533-position model. The record is from RNAcentral.